GCAUCCGUGUUGACAAAAUCACAGAAUAUCUAUGCGAUCCUCUUCAGAGAUGCCUUAAGGAUGAUGAUCCGUAUGUGCGCAAAACUGCUUCAAUUUGUGUUGCUAAACUAUAUGAUUUGAAUGCUGAGUUAGUUGAAGACAGAGGCUUCCUUGAAACUCUGAAGGAUUUGAUAUCCGAUAAUAAUCCUAUGGUAGUAGCAAAUGCAGUUGCAGCACUUGCGGAGAUUCAAGAAAAUAAUACCCGGCCAAUCUUUGAAAUCACCAGCCAUACUCUGUCUAAACUGUUGACUGCCUUAAAUGAGUGUACCGAAUGGGGUCAAGUUUUCAUUCUG
This 332-nucleotide unclassified non-coding RNA is filed under the name Hevea brasiliensis (rubber tree). Lineage: Eukaryota; Viridiplantae; Streptophyta; Magnoliopsida; Malpighiales; Euphorbiaceae. The record is from RNAcentral.